RNAcentral lists this long non-coding RNA (1384 nucleotides) under Sinocyclocheilus anshuiensis. Its description in RNAcentral is "lncRNA (ENSSANG00000030425.1)". Lineage: Eukaryota; Metazoa; Chordata; Actinopteri; Cypriniformes; Cyprinidae. The record is from RNAcentral.
UUCGCUCAUUUUAAUGCAUACUUAGCGUUGUCUGUCUUUCAGCCAAUCAGCUAGGGCGAAUCUUACGUCACGUUGAUUAAUAUUAAUGAGGCACAAACCUCUGGGUGGAUCCCGGUAGAAACACUGAUGUUGAUGAUAAAUACUGCUGUCAUCUCAACCAGAUCACAUUCACUGCUUAUUCAUCAUGGACUUCGAUCUGUGCUCAGGUAAACAGAUGCAGAAAUGAUAUACCAGUAAACACACACUGGUUGAUUUCUAAGAGAAACUAACAGUUUUAUUCCUGUUUUGGAGCAGCUGUUGGAGAUGAUGAGGUGAAGAAGCAGGAGGGCAACGAGGUGGAGGGCAUCUUUGGCUUUGGAAAAAAAGAUAAAGACAAAGAAGAAAAAGAUAAAGAGUGUAAGGACAAAGACAAAGAUAGUGACAAGCCAAAGAGUGAUUGCAAAGAAGAGGAUAAAGACAAGGACAAGUGCAAAGACAAAGAGAAGGACAAGAGCAAAGACAAAGAGAAGGACAAGUGCAAAGACAAGGAAAAGAAGAAGGAUAAAGAGCACAAAAAGGGGCACGGACAUGGUCAUGGUCGGGGACGUGGACGCGGACGCGGACACAGGUCAUCCUCUUCAUCCAGUGAUGAGGACUAAAGCUGAAGACUGAAGACAUAAGGGGGCUGGGGCAAGUUGUCACACAGGGAAAAUGUCCUAAGGGAUUUAUUUUUAUAGCAACUGUGAGGUUUUGUCAAAAAAAUCCAAUUGCACAAAUGCUUGUUUUCUAGCAGUGGUUUUAUAUGUUGGUUUCAAACACCUAGUUGCUCCAUUUGUAUUAAAUUAGGAUAAUAUUUUUGGAAUUGUGUCCUACAGACAAAAAUUUCAGUACUAUUAUCUUUUUAUACAUUGGUGCGAGCUGUUACAUGAGUUCUGUGAUGUACUGCAUAUACAGUAUCUAUGAAAAUCUCCUGUUAUUUUUUUGUUUUUUAAUUUUUUUGCUGUUUGUUUUACUGUUAAAGACAUUAUAUAGCCUGUAAUACAUUUGAAAUAUUAUAUUGUGGAAAAUGGAUUGAUUUUAUGUAUUUUAGUAUGUCAUGUUUGUUUUCUCAAAACAAUUCCCAUUCUUGUGAUUUAUCCCAUAUAUAGUGACAACAUGGCCCACUAAACAUAAGUCAACAUAAUGAACGUUAGGCUAUAUUUAUACUGGAUAAUAAUGAUAGACAUGUCCAAUAGUUGUUUCAGGGUGGUGACUAUUGAAAAAGUGACAUAAGUGACUUUUCAAAAUAAACUUACUGUGAGAAAUUAAUUGGUAUAAAAAGUUGUCCUAGACUCCUUUAUUUACACUACAGUACAACAUAUAUAUAUAUAUAUAUAUACACAGUGGGUACGGAAAGUAUUCAGAC